Molecule: ribosomal RNA, 497 nt
Filed under: uncultured bacterium
Lineage: Bacteria
Description: partial 16S ribosomal RNA
Rfam family: Bacterial small subunit ribosomal RNA
Source: RNAcentral
GAUGAACGCUGGCGGCGUGCCUAAUACAUGCAAGUCGAGCGAACGGACGAGAAGCUUGCUUCUCUGAUGUUAGCGGCGGACGGGUGAGUAACACGUGGAUAACCUACCUAUAAGACUGGGAUAACUUCGGGAAACCGGAGCUAAUACCGGAUAAUAUUUUGAACCGCAUGGUUCAAAAGUGAAAGACGGUCUUGCUGUCACUUAUAGAUGGAUCCGCGCUGCAUUAGCUAGUUGGUAAGGUAACGGCUUACCAAGGCAACGAUGCAUAGCCGACCUGAGAGGGUGAUCGGCCACACUGGAACUGAGACACGGUCCAGACUCCUACGGGAGGCAGCAGUAGGGAAUCUUCCGCAAUGGGCGAAAGCCUGACGGAGCAACGCCGCGUGAGUGAUGAAGGUCUUCGGAUCGUAAAACCCUGUUAUUAGGGAAGAACAUAUGUGUAAGUAACUGUGCACAUCUUGACGGUACCUAAUCAGAAAGCCACGGCUAACUACGUG